RNAcentral lists this non-coding RNA (22 nucleotides) under Arabidopsis thaliana (thale cress). The record is from RNAcentral. Lineage: Eukaryota; Viridiplantae; Streptophyta; Magnoliopsida; Brassicales; Brassicaceae.
UGCCAUCUGCCUCUGCCUUGAA